UCGAGCGGACAGAAGGGAGCUUGCUCCCGGAUGUUAGCGGCGGACGGGUGAGUAACACGUGGGUAACCCUGCCUGUAAGACUGGGAUAACUCCGGGAAACCGGAGCUAAUACCGGAUAGUUCCUUGAACCGCAUGGUUCAAGGAUGAAAGACGGUUUCGGCUGUCACUUACAGAUGGACCCGCGGCGCAUUAGCUAGUUGGUGAGGUAACGGCUCACCAAGGCGACGAUGCGUAGCCGACCUGAGUAGGGUGAUCGGCCACACUGGGACUGAGACACGGCCCAGACUCCUACGGGAGGCAGCAGUAGGGAAUCUUCCGCAAUGGACGAAAGUCUGACGGAGCAACGCCGCGUGAGUGAUGAAGGUUUUCGGAUCGUAAAGCUCUGUUGUUAGGGAAGAACAAGUGCAAGAGUAACUGCUUGCACCUUGACGGUACCUAACCAGAAAGCCACGGCUAACUACAUGCCAGCAGCCGCGGUAAUACGUAUGUGGCAAGCGUUGUCCGGAAUUAUUGGGCGUAAAGGGCUCGCAGGCGGUUUCUUAAGUCUGAUGUGAAAGCCCCCGGCUCAACCGGGGAGGGUCAUUGGAAACUGGGAAACUUGAGUGCAGAAGAGGAGAGUGGAAUUCCACGUGUAGCGGUGAAAUGCGUAGAGAUGUGGAGGAACACCAGUGGCGAACGCGACUCUCUGGUCUGUAACUGA
RNAcentral lists this ribosomal RNA (700 nucleotides) under Bacillus sp. CH156. RNAcentral describes it as "bacterial SSU rRNA". It matches the Rfam family "Bacterial small subunit ribosomal RNA", at positions 62 to 743 of the family's 1533-position model. Lineage: Bacteria; Bacillati; Bacillota; Bacilli; Caryophanales; Bacillaceae. The record is from RNAcentral.